CCGAUUCGAGGCAUCCUAUGGAAGGUUCUUCUUUUAGAAUAUAAUUUCAUUUUGCUCGUAUGCAAACAGUUGAUAGCUGCCUACUCUCAAGAUAUAACGAACUGGUUUUUGUUCUCUUUGAAGUGCAUUCUAAUGAAGGAGAAUCAAGGAAGAACCUAAACCAGCCAAAUCCAUAUGUGGUGAAAAUCAGCAAACGAGAUUGAAAAAAUAUCUCUCUAUACUCUUUUAUGUUGACAUGAUCCUCUCUUCUCAAAUGGUUGAAGGCACUAUUUAAAGAUAUGAAAGUGUGCGUGCGAACAGGUUCCCAUGUGAUGUUUUGUGAGAAGAGAAAGAGAAAAAGAGGCACAUCUGUAGGAUUUUAAGAGAGGAGAGAG
Molecule: long non-coding RNA, 374 nt
Filed under: Phoenix dactylifera (date palm)
Lineage: Eukaryota; Viridiplantae; Streptophyta; Magnoliopsida; Arecales; Arecaceae
Description: long non-coding RNA (PDAC_LNC016287)
Source: RNAcentral